Molecule: long non-coding RNA, 550 nt
Filed under: Pan troglodytes (chimpanzee)
Lineage: Eukaryota; Metazoa; Chordata; Mammalia; Primates; Hominidae
Description: long non-coding RNA NONPTRT002665
Source: RNAcentral
CUCCCGUUUCUAGCGGCUUCGGAUGUUUCCGGCUGCUGCCGGCGGAAAGAGCCGAGGGCCGGCGGUGGUGGCGGCCAUGUUGGGAGCAGCAGGUCCGGCGGCGGCUGCCUGUGUGCCGGGCGCGGAGCAGUGCCGCUGAGGGCAGGGGAGGAGCGAGGCAGGCGGCCGGCUGCGGCGGCAGAGAGUAGGCGGAGCGGCGCGGCCCGGCCGAAAGGCGGCACAGCCCAGCCGGGGGUCGGGGGGGUGCGGUCCGGAGCCGCUCGGAGCCGGCGCGGCCUAGCCCGAGCGGCGCAUCCCCGGGCUGGCGUGAGCGGCUGCCCGGCCUCCCCGCACCCCCGGCCGGGGCCCAUGCGGCGGGUGCUCCUGCUGUGAGAAGCCCCGCCCGGCCGGGCUCCGCGCCUUCCCUUCCCUCCCUUCCUCCAAGCUUCUCGGUUCCCUCCCCCGAGAUACCGGCGCCAUGUCCAGCGCUCGGACCCCCCUACCCACGCUGAACGAGAGGGACACGGAGCAGCAUCAGCGUUAGAUACCACGGUCACUUGACAUGGUAGAG